ACCUACUUAACGUAGUGGUUAGAGUAUUACUUUCAUGCAGCGAGAGUCGUUAGUUCAAAUUUAAUAGUAGGUA
Molecule: transfer RNA, 73 nt
Filed under: Amborella trichopoda
Lineage: Eukaryota; Viridiplantae; Streptophyta; Magnoliopsida; Amborellales; Amborellaceae
Rfam family: tRNA
About the family: Transfer RNA (tRNA) molecules are approximately 80 nucleotides in length. Their secondary structure includes four short double-helical elements and three loops (D, anti-codon, and T loops). Further hydrogen bonds mediate the characteristic L-shaped molecular structure. tRNAs have two regions of fundamental functional importance: the anti-codon, which is responsible for specific mRNA codon recognition, and the 3' end, to which the tRNAs corresponding amino acid is attached (by aminoacyl-tRNA synthetases). tRNAs cope with the degeneracy of the genetic code in two manners: having more than one tRNA (with a specific anti-codon) for a particular amino acid; and 'wobble' base-pairing, i.e. permitting non-standard base-pairing at the 3rd anti-codon position.
Source: Rfam by way of RNAcentral